This is a long non-coding RNA of Neogale vison (American mink), 2380 nucleotides long. The record is from Ensembl. NCBI's taxonomy places the organism in Eukaryota, Metazoa, Chordata, Mammalia, Carnivora, Mustelidae.
AAGAAAAGGGAGGAGCUGAUGUGUUCUGGGUCCCACAGUUAUGAACUCCCUGUGGGGCAGCCAGUCCCCCUCCCAGACCCUGAUGCUCCAGGUCGGCCUCCUCCUGGCUAUCUCCUCACCAAGCUUCCAGACUGUGGACAACCCCAGCAUCUCGCACACCCUGGAAAGGACUGUGGGGACAUCUGUCCAGCUGCAGCUGACCUCCUCCUUGUACCCGAAUGUCCGAGAGAUUGAGUGGAGUUGGCAUUCUGAGACUGAGAAAGAAGGGAUCCUGGUGUCCUGGAAACUUAAUGCCACUCCUGACUGGUAUGAACUGGAGGAAAAAUACAGGAGCAGCUUCUCUCUGCUAGAGCCAGCAGUUUUGAGCAUCAGGAAUCUCACCACGGAAAUGAGUGGAUGGUAUACAGCAAGGCUCAAAUUCCGCACAGGAAAAUCCCAGAAGGAAGUCUUUAAACUCUGUGUAUAUGAGCCCAUCCCCCACCCCCAGAUCGUGAUUCAUUCAUCAUCCAACCAGGCAGGCUGGUGCAAUGUCAGUCUGGAGUGUGGGACCCCAGGAGCCACAGAGAUCUGGACAGUGACCUGGCUGAGUGAGGGGCUUCCCAGGGAGCUGGAGGAGAGAGAGGCUCUGGGGCCAGCCCCCAGCUCCAGGAAUCUAAGCCUGAGCCUGCCCCUGAGCCAGCUCAAUGGCCCCCUCACCUGCAGGGUCAGCAACCCCGUGGACGAAAAGAAUGCAACCUUACUCCUGCAGAACAUCUGUCUGUGGAAGGGUUCUCAGAGCAAGUGGCUUUGGAGAGGCGUCUUGUUCACAGUUCUGAUGCUGAGCGUGGCCUGCGGAGUGUGCAUCUGGGUGAGGAAGAAGAUACAGUCCAGGAGGGGCAGGUCCGCUCUGCUGCCCACAGAGCUGGGCUCAGCAACGAUGCCCCAGGCCCCGCCCACAGAGGAACCUGUUGGCCUGCGGACUGCAGGGGCCCACAGCCACAGUCCUCCUGACGUGGAGAUCAGCCUCCUGAGACACCCCAAGAAUGACAUGGAGAGGGACAGCUGCCAUCCCCCUAAGCCCAAGUGCAGCCCAACCGUCUACACUGUCUACGAGAAGGUCCGGAUGAGCCGAAUGACCCAGAAGGACACCUAGGUUAACGAAGACGUUGAGGUAUGAGGGGCCUUGGCAAGACCUGCCCCACCUUACACUCCACCCAGGGUCCCAGAAAUCCCUCCUUAGGUAGAGCUAGGACAAGACCCCAGAUCUUCCUGAUGUGCUCCCCCACCCCAAGAUGGCAGAGCAGCACCACGUGUCCCAGGGCUCCUCACCAAGGUCGUCUCACCUCACGGGCGGGGAGCUUUGACCACGUCGCUUGAGCCUCCAGCAGGUUGGGCUGAUCCCUGGGCGGGCGGUCAGGUUUCUGACCUGUGACCCACUGACCCCCGUGAGGGAACGCCCGUAGUCAGCCAGGACCCGAGGACGCACGUCUGGGAACAGAGAUGCUUUCCCAGAAUUGGGCGGGCCUUGGAUGGAGGAUUUCCGGGAUGUCACUGCCCAGCCCAUCCCCCAAGAACAGAAGAGGGAUGGGCUGGACUGUAGAAAAGCAAGAGCUGCUGAGAUAAAGUUCAGGGUCAGCUUCAGCACGGAGGGAGGGGCAGAAAGGAAGGAAAUAAUUCUUGAGCCCCAUCACCUGCAGGCUUAUUGUAAGCACCAGACACGCACUAGCUCCAGAUCUCUCAAAAUUCAAGCAGUUUAUCAACCCUGUUAAAAAAAAUUACCUAAUGUACAUAAAUUGGAAGAAAGUCAAAGGCACGUCUCCUUGAAUUUAUCUUUCAUCAGUUGCAAAUGGGAUCCUGUUCCUGUUGUAUCUCCUAAUUAGUUGUUACCAUAACGCACCCACAACACGUACUGCCGCAUCGCUAAGUUUCUCUACUGUUUGAAAUAGUUUUUCGUUCGAUCCCUUCGAAUUUCUGGGCAAAGAACCAUAUUAAUGACAAAUAAUUAGACUUUUUCCUUCUUUCUUUCCGAUUUUUACACUUCAUUCCUCUCCUGUGUCUUGAUGCUGGUGAACACCCCCCAGUGUUUAAUAAGAGUGACUCCGAAGCUCAUCCUUGUGUUCCGAACUUAUUGCAAGUGGUCCAAGCGUGUCCCUGUUAAGCAUGAUGUUUAUUGUAAGGUUUUUAAGGCAUAUCUAAAAAGUAUGUCCUUAGUGUUACUUUAUCAAGAAUUUUGCCAUGAAGAAAAUGUGAGAGUUUCUUCUUUCCCUUUUAUCAUCCAUGAUGAUGUUAUCCGGUUUUCCUGUUUUUCCUCUGUGAAUAAUACAUUAAUAGAUUUCCUCCUAUUGAACUGUUCUUAUGCUACUGGAAUAAAUCCCAGUUGCUGUAUUAUUUUCUUAAUGUG